CCUUGGAUACCCAGAGAAUUUUCAGGCGGAGACCAGAUUGAUUAAAGCAAUAGCACAUGGAACCAUAUCUGGUGUGACAACAAUUUGAAAAGCGCCACCCAUCCUCUCUGAGACCACAAACAGCGCUGAAGGCAGUGAACCAAGACUUACAAACAAGGGUGUAGACCAAGGAAAAUGCUGGGGGCCAGAGGAGGAGAAAGCAAGAAGAUAGAAACACCAUAGUUUCAAGAGGGAGGGGAGCAGAAAGCCGCCAGCUCUCCAAAAAACAAGAAGCAAAACCCAGAACUCAAACCUCAUGAAAGUAUCACGAGGUUGAAGCCUUUAAAAGGUGUUUUUACAGCAGAUUUUAGAGACUUCUCACCUUACCAACGGUUAUAAACCCGUAUCCUUGCAAAUUCAGCAGUAGAGUCAUUAGAUUGCCCUCUCAGCCUCUGCACGUGAAGGGUCUCAGGGCUUUUCAGGACAUCUUUAGGGUCAGGUUUCGUGAAAUAGGUAGGUUGGGCCAGCUUUCUGGGGACUCUAAGCAACCUUGGAGAAAAUGGGCAGGAGUAAAUAAAGGUAUGCCAGCUUGCUUUUUCCAGUGGGGACUUGGCAAAUGCCAAAAACAGUAUAAAUAUUAUAUUCCCAUCUUCUAAUAUCAUGGAAACCCAUGGUGGCAAUGGGGCGCAGGGCUCACUAGCCACCCUGAGGUGAAGAAGUGGCCCCUCAGAGAUCUGAAGCUGGUUAGCAAGAGUUCACCAGGGCCUAGCUCCUUGUCCCUCAGGGAAAGCCCCUGGGUGCUAUAGCCCACCACCUGGAAGGGGCAGCCCCUGGAGAAAUGUUAGAAUUCUGGGUGAAUUAUUUUCUUAUGAAAUUUCAUCCAAAGUUUUAACAAAGUACCAAAUAGGAGAGUUGUUAAGUAUUGUGAGUGAGUGAGGUGGAGGAAGCAGAGCGGGGAAGGGGUGGCUCCACUCUCUCACUAUAUUCACUGCUCAUCCUAGAGAUGACCUAGUGUCAAAAACGUUGCAAAUGCAACCAGCUGCCUGUUGCAUCCAUGUAGUUCAGUUGUUGCUAUUUACAGGGUAGUAUAAAUGCCCGGUGCUGCUAUGAACCAAGGUGCUGAGUAUCAAAUGUUCCUGGAAGAGCACCUAGUAGUGUUUCAUUGGAUGGUUUCUAGUAAAAACUUUAUGCAAAAGUAAUAUGGUAUUGCUGAUUAUAGGUAUUAUCUGAUAAUAAUAAUCCUGUCAAGUACUUGCUUGGGCCAGAUCACUCUGUGAAGGCAGAAAGUUGGCAAUGCUUGUCUUAAAUGCAAGAUUCUUUCUCUUUUCUUCCUCCCUCCCUCCCUCCUAUUCAACCAUCCUUUAUUCACCCUUGGAAAAAUUUGGGCUCUGCAUUCACUCUUGCACAAUCCUGUAAUCUCAUGGUUUACUUUAUGAUGACAAUAUUAAUGACAAUAAAGGCACAUUUUCCCUAAG
Molecule: long non-coding RNA, 1454 nt
Filed under: Homo sapiens (human)
Lineage: Eukaryota; Metazoa; Chordata; Mammalia; Primates; Hominidae
Description: HSALNT0102693
Source: RNAcentral